This is a long non-coding RNA of Dicentrarchus labrax (European seabass), 343 nucleotides long. RefSeq lists it as uncharacterized. The record is from RefSeq and is a predicted model, not a curated record. NCBI's taxonomy places the organism in Eukaryota, Metazoa, Chordata, Actinopteri, Moronidae. The transcript has 2 exons.
AGUAGUACAGACAGGAGUCUAUUUUAGUGAGCCAUUCACAUUUGGCAGAGACACUAUAAAUCUGAUUGAUUAUUCUCCAUUGUCUCUCAGAAAGUCCCUUGCUGCCUCCCUCACACACACUUUUCUUCAGGUUUGAGGUACGACGCAAGGAGCUGUUCAGUUUCAAUAAGUUUUAGUGGGGGAAUUUAAGACAACCAUGGCUGAUGGGUGAGUAAAAUCUCUUUUGGUUUAUUUAAUAGCACUCACUGUCACCUUUAAAGUAUACUGUAAAACAAUGUAUUGAUAUUCAUUUCGUAAAUAUUCUGACAUGUAUUUUCUCCCUUGUUAUUGCUCCAACAGACCU